CAGGUAUAGUUUAAUGGCAAAACGAAUGCUUCCCAAGCCUUAGUUGCGGGUUCGAUUCCCGCUACUUG
This 68-nucleotide transfer RNA is filed under the name pig gut metagenome. It matches the Rfam family "tRNA". Rfam says of the family: Transfer RNA (tRNA) molecules are approximately 80 nucleotides in length. Their secondary structure includes four short double-helical elements and three loops (D, anti-codon, and T loops). The record is from RNAcentral.